CCGCAGCUCCAGGCAGGUGCUGCAGAGCCCGGCUCCAAUGGGGCAGCACGGGGAGGGCAGAGCAGAGCAGAGCAGAGCAGAGCACACCUCCAUUGCUGGGUCAUUGCCCAGGUCAGCAGCCAGCCUGCCCUCGCCAAGCCUUGCGUCUGUGCAGGGUCUGUUCCAUCAGCUUUGGGUUCUGAUGAGCUCUUAGUUUUCUGAGGAAACUCCUGAGGAUCUGGUGAAGUUUUCUUGCGUUCUCAAGUCCCUGUUCCUUAAAGCACAUCACGGUGGUGCUGUGAAGGAACCUGGCGGUUCCCAGCCUCCUGCUGAGCCUCCCCAGCUGCUGGCCUGCCCAGCAUUCCGGGCAUACCUCUCCUCUGUUGCCUCCGAUGAAGUCAUCAUCUCCACUUCUCUUAUUCCUGGCUUGUUCCGAGUGCCAUGGCAUGUGUGCUGCUGACAAGAACAGCUUCCUUUUGACAGCAGGAGAGGGGGAGCGCGUGAGGAGGGAUGAGCAAGAAGCAGGAGGAGCUGAUGUAUUUCAUUCCCACUAAAAAGAGCGUAAUUCCGACGAUCCCCGGGACUAGCUGUGAUUCACAAGAGCAGAGUCCCCCCCCGAGAGGUGUGGGCAGAGGCGCAGUAUGCCCAGCGGGGUCGCGGAGCGGAACCCCACCAUGGAGCCUGCAGCCACAACGCCCUUCCGCGUCACGGGGUUCCUCAGCCGUCGGCUUAAAGGCUCCAUCAAAAGGACAAAGAGCCAACCGAAGCUCGAUAGGAACAGCAGCUUCCGGCACAUCUUACCUGGCUUCAGGAGCGUGGACAAUGAGAGGUGAGCAGCCGUUCCUCGGGAUGGGAUGGGAUGGGAUGGGAUGGGAUGGGAUGGGAUGGGAUGGGAUGGGAUGGGAUGGGAUGGGAUGGGAUGGCCGCUUUUUGCAGCCUUUGUUAACCCUGUGUCAUCUUAUUGGGAGCAACAGCACAUCUGUGAUAGAAGUAGACUUGCUUAAUUGCAUUAGGUGUCAUUUUAAUGCAUUGGCAAGCACACAGUGCGAGCCCUCCCUUUUUAGGUUGAGUAGAAUGGACUGAGGUGCCCAUCUGAUGGGCUUUCCUCUCCCCACUACACCCGAAGUUGUUGCUCUGGCACAGGCAGAGCAUGGAGAUGUAGCAGCCGCCGAGCGCUGCGGGCAUGGGAAGGAGGGAGGGAGCAGCUCCGGCUCAGCCCUUGUAUGGACAAUAACAGCUGUGAUGUCCCCAGAUCCCUUUCCCUUUCCACGCUGGCACUCCUGUGCAGCCCUGUGUCUCUGCUUCCAGGCAGCCCAUGGCAGGGAGCCCUGCUGUGUAGGUUGGCUGGUGGUGGAGCAAACUGCACACAAAAUAAAGGGGGAAACGAGACCUAGUGGUUAUUUUCC
This 1385-nucleotide long non-coding RNA is filed under the name Chrysolophus pictus (golden pheasant). Its description in RNAcentral is "lncRNA (ENSCPIG00010011692.1)". Lineage: Eukaryota; Metazoa; Chordata; Aves; Galliformes; Phasianidae. The record is from RNAcentral.